Molecule: ribosomal RNA, 481 nt
Filed under: uncultured bacterium
Lineage: Bacteria
Description: partial 16S ribosomal RNA
Rfam family: Bacterial small subunit ribosomal RNA
Source: RNAcentral
GAUGAACGCUGGCGGCGUGCUUAACACAUGCAAGUCGAACGAAGCAUUUGCGACAGAUUUUUUCGGAAUGAAGUUGCUUAUGACUGAGUGGCGGACGGGUGAGUAACGCGUGGGUAACCUGCCUUGUACUGGGGGAUAGCAGCUGGAAACGGCUGGUAAUACCGCAUAAGCGCACAAUGUUGCAUGACAUGGUGGGAAAAACUCCGGUGGUAUAAGAUGGACCCGCGUCUGAUUAGCUAGUUGGUGAGAUAACAGCCCACCAAGGCGACGAUCAGUAGCCGACCUGAGAGGGUGACCGGCCACAUUGGGACUGAGACACGGCCCAGACUCCUACGGGAGGCAGCAGUGGAGAAUAUUGCACAAUGGAGGAAACUCUGAUGCAGCGACGCCGCGUGAGUGAAGAAGUAAUUCGUUAUGUACAGCUCUAUCAGCAGGGAAGAUAGUGACGGUACCUGACUAAGAAGCUCCGGCUAAAUACGUG